Molecule: ribosomal RNA, 253 nt
Filed under: uncultured bacterium
Lineage: Bacteria
Description: partial 16S ribosomal RNA
Rfam family: Bacterial small subunit ribosomal RNA
Source: RNAcentral
UACGUAGGCAGCAAGCGUUGUUCGGAAUUACUGGGCGUAAAGGGCUCGUAGGUGGCCAACUAAGUCAUACGUGAAAUCCCUCGGCUUAACCGGGGAACUGCGUCUGAUACUGGAUGGCUUGAGGUUGGGAGAGGGAUGCGGAAUUCCAGGUGUAGCGGUGAAAUGCGUAGAUAUCUGGAGGAACACCGGUGGCGAAGGCGGCAUCCUGGACCAAUUCUGACACUGAGGAGCGAAAGCCAGGGGAGCAAACGGG